UGCCCAGGUUGGCCUGGUAUUUGUGGAGAGUGCCUCGGCCUCCUGAGUUCCUGGGAUGACAGACGUGUGCCACUAUGUCUGGUACCAGCAGGCAUCUUGGUAGAUGGGACCACAGUAUCCUGAUGCAGGGUGGGCACAGGCCCUGGCUGGUCCUCCGAGAAGGGGACUAAGACCUGGAUUAAGGACUAAGGUCCUGCUCUCUGGCAGGAAAGCUCUGGGAGGGAAGGUGGGGCUGCAACCUUUUGAGUUAAAGACCCUGAGGCUUAACAGACACACACCCUGAGCCCAAGGGCUCUGGCCACAGCCACCCCCAGGCCCUACAGGCACUCAGGACAGGGCCCUUGGAGGUGCAGGCAUUGUCCCAUGUGCCUGGGGCAGCAAGAACAGUAGCUUCCCUUGGGACAGCACCACCACCGAGCCUGGCAGUGAACCUGAUGUCCACACACACAAGAGCCAACGGCUGCCGACUCCCUGUGGAGGCCAACUCUCAACGUGAUCCAACCUUGAACAGAGGAGAGCCCUAGUGAUAUCUCCAGGGCUGGCCUGGGGGGAGGACCCGAGGGAGGGGCUCUGCCACAGUCAUUCAGGGAGGAUCAGAGAGGGAAUCCACUUUAUUUAAUCCUUUGCUUCUGGGAGGGUAAAAAGGAAGCGGCUUGUCCCCCAGGCAUCAGAGAAAGGAAGGUGCAGUUCAGAGAAGGGUCCUGGAUAAGAGGAGGCGGGGAGCUGCUGGGGUCCCUGGUGCAGAGAGGCUCUCUUGCUGGCCUAUUUUUCUUGCAGGCCUGAAAGCCAAACAAUGGAAGGACCUGCAACAAGGGACGUCAGACAUCGGGAAGGUCCUAUGCUGGGGUGCUCUGAAGCACUGGAGUGACAGGAGGGAUUCCCCAGGCGGCCUGCCUGCUCCUAAAGCAGAGGUCUGCAGGCAGAGGAACGGCAUGCAGGUUUGGGGGACCUGGUGGCCUUGGAGGAUGGGGCAAAGCAGAGGUCUCUGGCAGAGAUGGGGGCGAAUGGGCUGGCAGUCCUCCGCUCUCCUGGCCGCCCUGCUGCUGCGCCAAGGUGCCGUUGGUGGGAAGGGGGCGGCGGGCAGCCUGCGGUUUCUCCUGGGCUUUGAUUUAUUGCCUAAUGCAGGCAGAGAAGAAAGGGGAGGCUCAUCUCUAAGCCAGAGUCUUAGGAGCGGGACGUGAGUCUCCCAUCUUCUGAAGGCCCAGCAAACAGAGCCCUGCUCUCUAAUUCAGCUGCAGGUCUGAGCCUGCCACGGGGCACAGACAUGCCACCAAGUAGGCCUCUUGCACUGCGCCUCUGGUUCAGAAUCCCCCACCCCCAUGGCUCUGUGCUUAUGGGGAGCAAGACGGAGGGCAGAGGCAGGAAGGAGACCUGGGAGGCAGGAGCAGAGGUGCCAAGAGGGAGAGAAAGGUCUGAGACAGAAGAGGAGGCUGAGGACAGACAGGAGGCACCCACGGGCAGAGUAGAGAAUGGAGGAGGGACAGCAGCCAGGACAGCCCUGAGAGUGAGAUUCAGAGGCAGAUGGAGAGAGACCUGGGGACCAGAGGUGCCCCAACAACACCAAUUACGUGGGAAAAGAAGAAAGUGCUUAGGUUUGGAUGAUUGGCUGGACCAUGUGGGAAGGCCCCUGCUAGUCCAAAAGCAACUUUAAGAAAAAAUUUAAAAAGAUAUCUCAGUGUCUGAGUGGGGUGCUGUAUCCAACCAGGGCACAGAACUGGAUUUCAGUCCCUUAUCCCCUCAGGCUCAACUACCCAAAGACCUGCAAGUCUAGUUAGGGCCAAAGGAGUAACAGAGCUGGGGGAUGCUCAGCCAGCACCUUAGGGAAGCUUCCAAAUGACCGUUCUUUUGCUUCAGAAUCCACCCCCUAAGAUCCUCAUUUUCUUCCUAAUCCCUGGGGUAAGGAGCCUUUCCAGGAAGCCCACCUCCAGAGUCAGUGCUUCCACCUCCUCCACCCUUCCUCGUCAUAAGGACCCAAGAAGGCCUCAGGGAGGACAGUAUUGUUGAGCUGAAGGAAGGUGAAAGGGAUUGGGCAGAAGCAGCCUGAAGGCUGAAGGAGAAGAUAGGAGAAUGAGCUAAUGCACAUUUGAGCCUCAAAAAGAAAAAUGAGCAAAGAAAACCCAUCUGGAUUCUUCCUCCCUAGAAACAGUCUUCUGCCUCUCCUGGCCUGAGGGUCUCAGGGAGGGUGCUGCAACUGAACUCUUCCCCCACCAAGCCCUGUGCCUUAGGGCAUUACUCAUGGCACACACACAAAAAAAACUUCACUUCUCCCUAUGGUGGCCACCCUGGCAGGUGCAAUUCAACAUUUGUUUCCAGUCAAAUGUAAACAUUUGUUUACAGUCAACAUUUGUUUACAGUUUAUUGCAGAUAAGACAAAGCAAAGCAUUGGACAUAAUGAGUGAAAAUAAAGUGAAGAUAAAGUCAAAAUA
This is a non-coding RNA of Ictidomys tridecemlineatus (thirteen-lined ground squirrel), 2426 nucleotides long. The record is from RefSeq and is a predicted model, not a curated record. Lineage: Eukaryota; Metazoa; Chordata; Mammalia; Rodentia; Sciuridae.